RNAcentral lists this ribosomal RNA (270 nucleotides) under uncultured bacterium. Its description in RNAcentral is "partial 16S ribosomal RNA". It matches the Rfam family "Bacterial small subunit ribosomal RNA", at positions 524 to 794 of the family's 1533-position model. The record is from RNAcentral.
UACGUAGGUGGCAAGCGUUGUCCGGAUUUAUUGGGUUUAAAGGGUGCGUAGGCGGCCUAUUAAGUCAGUGGUGAAAGCCUGCAGCUUAACUGCAGAACUGCCAUUGAUACUGAUGGGCUUGAGUACAGUUGAGGUUGGCGGAAUGUGUCAUGUAGCGGUGAAAUGCUUAGAUAUGACACAGAACACCGAUUGCGAAGGCAGCUAGCUAAACUGUAACUGACGCUGAGGCACGAAAGCGUGGGUAGCAAACAGGAUUAGAAACCCGGUAGU